Homo sapiens (human) is the source of this 852-nucleotide long non-coding RNA. RefSeq lists it as uncharacterized. The transcript has 3 exons. The record is from RefSeq and is a predicted model, not a curated record. NCBI's taxonomy places the organism in Eukaryota, Metazoa, Chordata, Mammalia, Primates, Hominidae.
AGUGAAGGGCAAAUGUCUCUCCUGAAGACACACACACCCCUUCACACUACCCAACCCCAGCCUCUGGCAGCCUCUGGAGGAAGGAAUGUCCGGAUGGAGUUUCGCUCUUGUUGCCCAGGCUAGAGUGGGAUGGCGCAAUCUUGGCUCACCGCAACAUCUGCCUCCCAGGUUCAAGCAAUUCUCCUGCCUCAGCCUCCCAAGUAGCUGGGAUUACAGGUCUUUAAUCCAUCUGGAAUUCAUAUUUAUGGAUGGUGUGAAGAUUUUUCAUAGGAAAAGCCAAUUGUCACAACACAUUUUACUGAAGUCUAUUCUUUCUCACUGAGUUGCAGUGCCGCCACUAUCAUAAAUCACAUUCCCACAUAUACUUGGAUCUGUUUCUGGGCACUCUAUUCUAUUGAUUCCUUUGUCUAGCCCGGCACCGAUACCACAUUGUUUUAAUUACUAUCGCUUUCAAAAAAGUCUUGGUAUUUGUUAGGGCCAGGUCUCUUUCCUUAUUCUUUUUCAGAACUGUCUACUUUUUUCUUGGGUCUUUGCUCUUCUCUAUGAAUUUUAGAAUCAGUUUGCCUAGCCCUGUGAAAAAUCCUGUUGGAAUAUUUAUUGGACCUGCAAUGAAUCAACAGAUUAACGUGGAGAGAAUCGUCUUCAUAACAUGGAGGCAUCUCAUACUUAACCUAAUACUUCUCUAUGGCUCUCCAUUUAUUACUAUUGUAGCCUAUGUUUUACUUCCUAAAUAUCUUGCAAUGUGUUUUGUAAUUUUUUUCUGGGUUUUGUACAAUUUUAAUUUUAUUGUGAAUGAUUUCUUUUUGAAAGAUACUACAAUUUCUAAUAAACUAUUGCUAGUGCGUAGAAACA